RNAcentral lists this small RNA (28 nucleotides) under Bombyx mori (domestic silkworm). RNAcentral's name for it is "ovarian small RNA-33310". The record is from RNAcentral. Lineage: Eukaryota; Metazoa; Arthropoda; Insecta; Lepidoptera; Bombycidae.
UGCAACAUCGCAUUGGCCAGUGCCAGGA